RNAcentral lists this ribosomal RNA (759 nucleotides) under uncultured Neisseriaceae bacterium. RNAcentral describes it as "bacterial SSU rRNA". It matches the Rfam family "Bacterial small subunit ribosomal RNA", at positions 28 to 776 of the family's 1533-position model. The record is from RNAcentral. Lineage: Bacteria; Pseudomonadati; Pseudomonadota; Betaproteobacteria; Neisseriales; Neisseriaceae.
AUUGAACGCUGGCGGCAUGCUUUACACAUGCAAGUCGGACGGCAGCAUAAAAGAGCUUGCUCUUUUGAUGGCGAGUGGCGAACGGGUGAGUAAUGCAUCGGAACGUACCGAGUAGUGGGGGAUAACUGUCCGAAAGGAUGGCUAAUACCGCAUAUUCUCUGAGGAGGAAAGCAGGGGACCUUAGGGCCUUGCGCUAUUUGAGCGGCGGAUGUCUGAUUAGCUAGUUGGUGGGGUAAGAGCCCACCAAGGCGACGAUCAGUAGCGGGUCUGAGAGGAUGAUCCGCCACACUGGGACUGAGACACGGCCCAGACUCCUACGGGAGGCAGCAGUGGGGAAUUUUGGACAAUGGGCGCAAGCCUGAUCCAGCCAUGCCGCGUGUAUGAAGAAGGCCUUCGGGUUGUAAAGUACUUUUGUCAGGGAAGAAAAGCCUGAGGAUAACACCCUCAGGUCAUGACGGUACCUGAAGAAUAAGCACCGGCUAACUACGUGCCAGCAGCCGCGGUAAUACGUAGGGUGCGAGCGUUAAUCGGAAUUACUGGGCGUAAAGCGAGCGCAGACGGUUAUUUAAGCAAGAUGUGAAAGCCCCGGGCUCAACCUGGGAACUGCGUUUUGAACUGGGUAACUAGAGUGUGUCAGAGGGGGGUAGAAUUCCACGUGUAGCAGUGAAAUGCGUAGAGAUGUGGAGGAAUACCGAUGGCGAAGGCAGCCCCCUGGGAUAACACUGACGUUCAUGCUCGAAAGCGUGGGUAGCAAACAGG